GUACAGGUGAGUGACUUCAAGCCUUAUUUUAGACAAAGUGUCUCUCCUGCCCCAAAGGCUCUCACAGAACAAAGCUGCUACAACGGUUCCUAAAACAGACACAAUUCCCACAGAAUUAUAGAUAAUUUUCAUUUCAGAAAAGAAGAUAAAGACAUUAUUUAAUUAUCCUCUUUGGGAUAUGAAAGUACCACGUGGAAGAUGGAGGCCAACUAUUUCUUCUUCAGGAGAGUCAAAAGAACCACAUUGAAGAAGAGGUUCACAACAGAUGCUAAAAAAUCUAAGGGUGCUCAUGGCCUGAAUACGUUUCCAGGCAGAGUUUGUGAGCAGAGUUCACAAAGGUGCGGAUGAAGACCGUUCGCUGGGCUUCACUAGUACAAAGACAGGCUGACAGUGCAAAGACGAAGAGGAACGGUCCCAGCCAUCAGGGAACUCAGCAGCUUGGAAGAUACUAAACAGCCACUCCUCCAGGAUCUUCUAGUUAGGAAAUUGAAGGCUCCGUCAUUGCUAUAGGCAUUUCAAGCUCGGCCAGUAGGCUCUGUAUAUUGACAGAGAUGAGAAAGACUGCUAUAGGUACAUUUUUCGUUCUCUAAAAAAAAGGGGUAACAGAUGUGGGGGAGAAGAAUUAGAAGCAAUGCAGAGUCUGUGUUUUCUUCUUUCUCCUAAGGUUAUGGCUCGUGUCCCAAGUUGUUGGGAAGGAACCUCUGGUUGCAGCAGGACUGACUGUACAAUUUGUGAGCCCAGUGUGAAAUGAAAAUGCAGGGCCCCUUGAUCAAAAAUUAUAAAAAAAUCUCAAGACAGCGCCAGCAGAGCAUUAAAACAAGCCCCAAGUCCCAGGCGCCACACAGCCUCGCUCUUCUGCAGUUCAGCUCUUCCUUUUACGUUCCUCUUCUGGCUACCUCAUUUAUCCUUCCGUAAACCUUCACUGAUGAGAGAUGUGGUAACCCAAGCAAGUCUAUCGUUCUUGCAACUAAAAUGAACCAGCACACUUAGGACACGACAGGGUUCCUGCUGUCAUUUCUUCCUCUUACCUUGUACCGUCUAAAAAUUGCAGGGAUGUAUUAAAAUGCUUUCUACUCCAUGUUAUUUUAGGUAAUAUUUAAUUAGGUUUUUAUGCUUUAAUACGAUGUCUGAUGUUCUGGAUCGUAUCCUCUAAUUUUUUCUACUAUAAUAAAGUUCCUGACACUA
Molecule: long non-coding RNA, 1185 nt
Filed under: Homo sapiens (human)
Lineage: Eukaryota; Metazoa; Chordata; Mammalia; Primates; Hominidae
Description: HSALNT0322551
Source: RNAcentral